This is a small nuclear RNA of Cricetulus griseus (Chinese hamster), 184 nucleotides long. Its record names the gene U2. It matches the Rfam family "U2 spliceosomal RNA". From Rfam's summary of the family: U2 is a small nuclear RNA (snRNA) component of the spliceosome (involved in pre-mRNA splicing). Complementary binding between U2 snRNA (in an area lying towards the 5' end but 3' to hairpin I) and the branchpoint sequence (BPS) of the intron results the bulging out of an unpaired adenosine, on the BPS, which initiates a nucleophilic attack at the intronic 5' splice site, thus starting the first of two transesterification reactions that mediate splicing. The record is from Ensembl. Lineage: Eukaryota; Metazoa; Chordata; Mammalia; Rodentia; Cricetidae.
AUCACUUCCUGUCCUUUGGCUAAGGUGAAGUGUGAUAUCUGUUCUUAUCAGUUUAAUACAUCCUUUGUAUGAGGAUAACAUUGUAAAAAUGGACUUUUGGAUCUGGGAGAUAGAAUGAGAGCUUGCACUGUCCACUCCAUGCAGCAAUCUGGUAUUGCAGCACCUCCGGGAAUGGUCACCCCUC